RNAcentral lists this small RNA (28 nucleotides) under Bombyx mori (domestic silkworm). RNAcentral describes it as "ovarian small RNA-20693". Lineage: Eukaryota; Metazoa; Arthropoda; Insecta; Lepidoptera; Bombycidae. The record is from RNAcentral.
UACCGAAGACCGGUUACCCCGACCCCGA